Long non-coding RNA from Herpailurus yagouaroundi (jaguarundi), 148 nucleotides. RefSeq lists it as uncharacterized. The transcript is spliced from 2 exons. NCBI's taxonomy places the organism in Eukaryota, Metazoa, Chordata, Mammalia, Carnivora, Felidae. The record is from RefSeq and is a predicted model, not a curated record.
UUUUCUAAAAUCAGGAAUGAAAGAAUAGAUGUUACCACCACACUUACAGAAAUAAAAAAGGCUGUAAAGGAAUAGUAUGAACCACUGAGAUCAACAAAUUACAAUAAAAAACUAUGUGAAAUGGACACAUGCCUACAAAUACAGAAGC